UCAUUGGAUUAAACUAAAAUACCUCAUUGACAAUAUAAACAAGCACCUGCUAACAACAUAUCCUCUCAAAAUAUAAAGAAAAAAUAUAUGUAUAGGACAGAAUUAUUUUUACAUUUUAUAGUAUAUUAAAUAUUUAAUUAUUGGAUUUGGGAAUCUUUCAAAGCUAAAAAAAAGGAAAAAUCCAGGGAGUGAAAGACAGGAAGCAGGAAGUGAAAACAGGGAAGGAGAUAAAGGUGUCACACCUGUGGAGGGGUAAAAAAAAAAAAAAAAAGACAGACAUUAUUUGGAAGGAAGUGAAACCAGAAGCAUGAAGUGAAAUAUAUCAGGAUUUAGUUGUUGGACAUUUAAUAGUCCCAGGACGCUAUUCUAUGAAGCAUAUUUUCUGCCAUUUUUCUUUUUUCGGACAUGCUGCUGGAUCUUUUGUAUGCCUGGAUUGGAAUCAACAAAAUAAGCUAAGUGAUAAUACACACGCACGCACACAUGCACACACACACGCAAACACACCCAGCCACAACUUUGAGCUACUUGUUGUUUUCUGGUUGUCGGCCAUUUUGACUAACCAGAGCAUGCCUCUGUACAAACAACCCAUUGACCUCAAUUUUAUGACUUUUAACCGAUCCACCAUAGACUUUCCUCCACUGCUUCUUCAGCUUGUACAACAAGUGAGUGAUGUUUGCAGUACUGUGUUGAUAUAAAGUUGGCGUGUGCUGUUUGAAAAUAGUUGUUUGGCCUUUUUUUUUUAGUAGCGAGUCUCUUGAUGCCAAAAUGGAACCGUUCUUAUCAGUCCAAUGGAAUCAAUUUGUGACUUAAGGGUAUUUAGCUGGAACUGUAGCUUGAUAUUCAAUAUGAUGCCGUCAACAUUUUAUUUUGCAACCCAACAUUUUUACAACAACUUAUCCGCAGACUUGACAGCAGCAUUCUUUUUUUUUUUUUUUUGUCAACCUCAACCCAAUCGUACCACAGCUAGAGGAAACGUCGUGUUUAUGUUGGCUACAUCCCAGCUGUUGAUGACAAGCAAGUUUUUCUCCUAAAGUCUGCAUAUGACGAGAAUCGUAAAAUUACUCUGUGAGUUCACAAAAGGGGCAAAGUUAACGUCUUGAGAAAAUGUUAAGGUUUUAAGGACACGUUAGCAAGUCUGCGCGUUGUAAGUUUCGGCCAUCAACAGCUCGUUAAUGAAUGUGCUUUUAUUAGGUGUGUUGAAGGAGGGAAAAAUUUCAAUCAUGCAGGACAGCGCCCCCGCGAGGACUGGAGGACUUGUGAGAUAAGUAAUGCAGUCUUCCACCAUCAGGGGGCGACAGAACUUGCCCACUCCAGCUUUAAUGAAGUAGACGGAAAGAAAAAAACAGCACCACCUGCUGGAUAUCUUGGGGCACUGCCUGUCCUGCCCUUACUACAAAGUCGCCACAGGGAAACAAAUUUGCGGUGCUGCCAUUGCAAAUUGACACCAGGGGGGCCCAGUGUGCUGAUUCAGAACAUGGGGGGGCAGGCUGUCUCCAUGCUGCAGAUCACAUCUGAUCUCUCAUAAUAUUUGGAUCAUAUAUUCAGUCUCGCUGUUAAAUGUUGCUGAGAUACUCCGCCCGCCUGCUUCAAACAAUCUCGACAAGCGGACGUCCUCCUCGCCUGUUGAAAUGAUACAACGCCACGCGUCCACGAAAGCGAUAUUGCGGACGGUUUGAAGCCCGAGGCCCCCUUAAUGUUGCUUUUGUAAACAAUCAAGCCACGUCGGAGGCCGUAGCUCAUGUCGAUGCUUAACAUAUGGUGGAAAACGUCUCUGAAGAGAGUCCACGCAGAAAUAUUUUGACAAACGAGAGCACAUGCAGACCUCCGCCAAGGCUUAGACAUUAAUCAAAGUCACUCUACGCUCAUUAAAAAAAAAAAUCAUUUCAGGCAUUUA
Long non-coding RNA from Syngnathus acus (greater pipefish), 1894 nucleotides. RefSeq lists it as uncharacterized. NCBI's taxonomy places the organism in Eukaryota, Metazoa, Chordata, Actinopteri, Syngnathiformes, Syngnathidae. The record is from RefSeq and is a predicted model, not a curated record. The transcript is spliced from 4 exons.